Hipposideros armiger (great roundleaf bat) is the source of this 593-nucleotide long non-coding RNA. RefSeq lists it as uncharacterized. The record is from RefSeq and is a predicted model, not a curated record. The transcript is spliced from 3 exons. Lineage: Eukaryota; Metazoa; Chordata; Mammalia; Chiroptera; Hipposideridae.
AAGGGCCAGUCGGCGGGAGGCUGCCGGAACAACAGCGGCUUCCCCAGCAACCCCAAAUUCUGGCUGCGGGUCUCAGAACCCAGCGAGGUGUGCGCAGCCGUCCUGCAGAGGCCCAGGGUGCGCACGGCCGACUGGGCUGGCCGGGCCCGGGCCCCGACGGGGAACGACCGCACUGCGUGGAGCCCGGCGGGCGCCCCGGGCAAGGACUACCCUGCCGUGGGCCUGCAUCUCUGGAAGGUGGAGAAACGGCGGGUCAGCCUGCCCCGCGUCCUGUCCACACCCCCCGUGGCUGGAACUGUGUGCCAUGCGUAUGACCGCGAGGUCCAUCUCCGCUGUGAGCUCGCCCCUGGGUAUUACCUGGCCGUCCCCAGCACCUUCCUGAAGGACGUGCCGGGGCAGUUUCUGCUCCGGGUCUUCUCCAGCGGGGGCGUCUCCCUCAGUGCCAUCAAGCCAGUGACCGAGGGCCCUGACCCCGAGGAGGCCCUGUCCGAGGGCGAGUGGGAGACGGUGCAGCUGCGGGGCUCCUGGAGGGCCGGCCAGACGGCGGGGGGCAGCAGGAACUUCGCGUCCUACCCCACCAACCCCUGCUUCCC